Molecule: non-coding RNA, 572 nt
Organism: Nicotiana tabacum (common tobacco)
Lineage: Eukaryota; Viridiplantae; Streptophyta; Magnoliopsida; Solanales; Solanaceae
Source: RefSeq, a predicted model, not a curated record
UGUCCCCUGCUACUGUGUUGUUCAUACAUCUUCUCUAGUUCUCUUCUCUUUCCUACAAAAACCAAGACACACUACACAGUUUCAACACAUAAAAUCUCAGAGCUCCCUCCUCUAUAUCUAAAAUCCUCUUCCCUUUGUGUCUUUUCUUGUGCCCUUCGCCUCAAUAUUUAUUUAUUUUUAAAAUUUUCAAGAAACUUUAAAGAACUCGUUUUUCCUUCGAUCUCCAUUUUUCUUUUUGCUGAAAUUCCACUCAAGAAACAAAACGCCGUCGUUUCAGAGAACUAUAUUGUAGUAGAAUGCUUAUGGGUUAUGGUCGUUCACUUGUGGCCGAGUUUCUACUUUCUGGUGAUUGCCCAUCUGGUUAACUUACUCAGAAUAAAAAAGGUUAUAUUGGAUAGAUGUCUUUUCGGAAGUAUAUUCCCCCUUCUGAUGCACCAUCUGGAAGUAUGAAGUCAUUGAACUUAUCUGGAAAGGCAAAUCAAAAUUCUCAACCAUCUGAUCCACAAAGAUCAACUGAGGCUGAUGUGGACAUCGACAUGGGUGAGGUCUAUUUCUUGAUUAUGCAUUUCCUA